This 31-nucleotide non-coding RNA is filed under the name Rattus norvegicus (Norway rat). The record is from RNAcentral. Lineage: Eukaryota; Metazoa; Chordata; Mammalia; Rodentia; Muridae.
UCUUAUGGAGCCAAUUUUCUCAGUUGAGGGU